GAAGGAGCGGUUGAAGGUGCGGCCGGGACUGCCUCCAGGUCAAUCCUUGGCUCGAUGUCGACCUCGUUCCUGCAGAACCAGGAUGAGUCGCUCACCAACGUCUUCGUCAAUCGCUCGCCUGCCUCCCCAUCCAAAUCUGCCGUGUCAAGGAAUAGGCGGACCUCGAGGUCGUGGAUCGAGAUGUACGAUCCGAGGUCG
Molecule: unclassified non-coding RNA, 198 nt
Filed under: Rhodotorula toruloides
Lineage: Eukaryota; Fungi; Basidiomycota; Microbotryomycetes; Sporidiobolales; Sporidiobolaceae
Source: RNAcentral